UCUCUGCGCGGAAAAUUUAACGGGGCUAAGAUACAAACCGAAGCUUAGGCUGCACUUUUAGUGCGGGGUAGGGGAGCGUUGUGUAAGCGGAGAAACAGUAGCGAAAGCGGCUGUGGAGUUUACAGAAGUGAGAAUGCCGGAAUGAGUAGCGCGAAUGAUGUGAGAAUCAUCAUGGCCGGAAACCUCAGGUUUUUGGAGGAAGGUUCGUCCGCUCCAAGUUAGGCGGGAGCUAAGGUGAGGCCGAAAGGCGUAGCCGAUGCACAGACGGUAGAGAUUCCGUCCCCACCGAAAGAUUUAAGCACAGGGACACUUUUUGAAGGUCGGAGCCAGGUGUUGGUUCUGGUAGUGAUCGAGGGAAAUAUAGUACCGAAGUCCGGCUGGAAGAGAGGCGAGAAAAGCUGUGUGUAUAUCUAAGGUGCCCGUACCGCAAACCGACACAGGUAGGUAGGAAGAAGAUUCUAAGGCCAACGGGAGAAGGGUUGUUAAGGAACUCGGCAAGUUGACCCCGUAACUUCGGAAUAAGGGGUGCUCACGAGAGUGAGCCGCAGAGAAUAGGCCCAGGCAACUGUUUACCAAAAACACAGGUUUGUGCUAAAUCGAAAGAUGACGUAUACGAGCUGACGCCUGCCCGGUGCUGGAAGGUUAAAAGGAGAUGUGCAAGCAUUGAAUUGAAGCCCCAGUGAACGGCGGCCGUAACUAUAACGGUCCUAAGGUAGCGAAAUUCCUUGUCAGGUAAGUUCUGACCCGCAUGAAAGGCGUAAUGAUUUGGGCACUGUCUCAACAGCCCGCCCGGCGAAAUUGUAGUACCGGUGAAGAUGCCGGUUACCCGCGACAAGACGGAAAGACCCCAUGGAGCUUUACUGUAGCCUGAUAUUGGGUUUCGGUGUUGCAUGCACAGGAUAGAUGGGACGCUGGGAAGCGGAUGCUUUGGCGUUCGUGGAGUGGACGUUGGGAUACCAUCCUUGCGACAUUGGAAUUCUAACCUGCGCCUCUGAAUCGAGGCGGGGGACAUUGUCAGGUGGGCAGUUUGACUGGGGCGGUCGCCUCCUAAAAAGUAGCGGAGGCGUUCAAAGGUUCGUUCGAUCUGGACGGAAACCAGAUGAUUGAGUGCAAACGCAUAAACGAGCCUGACUGCGAGACUGACGGGUCGAGCAGAGACGAAAGUCGGAGUUAGUGAUCCGGUGGUAUGUGAGUGGAAAUGCCAUCGCUCAACGGAUAAAA
RNAcentral lists this ribosomal RNA (1221 nucleotides) under human gut metagenome. RNAcentral's name for it is "bacterial LSU rRNA". It matches the Rfam family "Bacterial large subunit ribosomal RNA", at positions 1156 to 2461 of the family's 2925-position model. The record is from RNAcentral.